GAUGAACGCUAGCGGCAGGCUUAACACAUGCAAGUCGAGGGGCAGCGCGGGAUAGCAAUAUCCUGGCGGCGACCGGCGGAAGGGUGCGUAACGCGUGAGCGACAUGCCCGUUGCCCGGGGACAACCGGUGGAAACGCCGACUAAUCCCCGAUGGGAUACGAUGCUUCAUGGCAUUGUAUUGAAAGUUACGGCGGCGACGGAUUGGCUCGCGUCCGAUUAGCUGGUUGGCGGGGUAACGGCCCACCAAGGCUGCGAUCGGUAGGGGUUCUGAGAGGAAGGCCCCCCACAAUGGGACUGAGACACGGCCCAUACUCCUACGGGAGGCAGCAGUGAGGAAUAUUGGACAAUGGGCGGAAGCCUGAACCAGCCAUGCCGCGUGCGGGAAGGAGGCCCUAUGGGCUGUGAACCGCUUUUGCCUGGGGGCAAUAAGGGCGUCGCGCACGUCCGAUGAGAGUACCAGGCGAAUAAGCAUCGGCUAACUCCGUG
This 486-nucleotide ribosomal RNA is filed under the name uncultured bacterium. RNAcentral describes it as "partial 16S ribosomal RNA". It matches the Rfam family "Bacterial small subunit ribosomal RNA", at positions 28 to 507 of the family's 1533-position model. The record is from RNAcentral.